AUACGGAGGAUGCGAGCGUUAUCCGGAUUUAUUGGGUUUAAAGGGAGCGCAGGCGGAGAUGCAAGCGUGACGUCAAAUUUCGGGGCUCAACCCCGUCUCGCGUCGCGAACUGCGUCCCUUGGUUGCGGGAAGGGGAGGCGGAACUCGUGGUGUAGCGGUGAAAUGCAUAGAUAUCACGAAGAACUCCGAUCGCGAAGGCAGCCUUCCGGCCCGUCAACGACGCUCAUACUCGAAGGUGCGGGUAUCAAACAGGAUUAGAUACCCUGGUAGUCCGCACAGUAAACGAUGGACACCCGCGGUUUGGCCUGUAUGGCUGAGCCGCCAAGCGAAAGCGUUAAGUGUCCCACCUGGGGAGUACGCCGGCAACGGUGAAACUCAAAGGAAUUGACGGGG
Molecule: ribosomal RNA, 393 nt
Filed under: uncultured bacterium
Lineage: Bacteria
Description: partial 16S ribosomal RNA
Rfam family: Bacterial small subunit ribosomal RNA
Source: RNAcentral